This is an RNA transcript of Lolium rigidum, 5101 nucleotides long. It is a transcript of the gene named trithorax group protein osa-like, with no coding region annotated. The transcript is spliced from 10 exons. The record is from RefSeq and is a predicted model, not a curated record. Lineage: Eukaryota; Viridiplantae; Streptophyta; Magnoliopsida; Poales; Poaceae.
CCACCACCGCCGCCUCCUCCUCCACCACCACCACCACCAUCACCAAAGCUGGCCUGCCACCUCGAACCCCGCCAAUCCCUCGAUCCCUCGUGCUGCUGCUCGGCAGGCGUGGUCAGGACCUGAUUCCUUAUGCUGGUGACGAAGCCCUAGCUUGUUCGGAUUUUUGUGCCGGUAUCAGAACCCUUAUUGGAUAGAAGUUAGUGCGGCCAUACCAUGGGGUUCGAUAAUGAAUGUAUUCUGAAUAUUCAAUCUCUUCCUGGUGAAUAUUUUUGCCCUGUUUGCCGGACACUCAUAUACCCCAACGAGGCUGUACAAACUCAGUGCACACAUCUCUACUGCAAACCUUGCUUGACUUAUGUAGCAGCAACAACGCAAGCCUGCCCUUAUGAUGGCUACUUGGUGACAGAAGCCGAUUCCAAGCCUCUGGUGGAUAUAAAUAAAUCGCUUGCCGAGACAAUUGGUAAAGUUGCAGUACACUGUCUCUAUAACAAGAGUGGUUGCCAAUGGCAAGGAAAUCUGUCUGAAUCCAUCACACAUGGUACUGCUUGCGCCUAUGGGAACUCCCCUGUUGUUUGUAACCGCUGUGGUACUCAGAUUGUACAUCGUCAAGUGCAAGAGCAUGCUCAGCUUUGCCCUGGCGUGCAACCCCAAACACAACAGGCUGACAGUAGUCUGACACAGUCAUCAGCUGCAAUAACCCAGGCAGUCACCCAAGAUCCUUCUGCAGUUUCCUCAGUGGCACCUGCAGCAGUUCCAUCUGCAACUACAGCUGGAGCUGUAACAGCUCCUGCAGUGGCGACUAGUUCAGCUGGUGCGACCACAGCAAGCACGAUGGCUGCGGCCUCUUUCGCAGGGGCACCUGCUACUAGUCAAGGUCAAGCUGUUGCUCCCCAAACUCAAACAGCUGAGCAGUACCAGCAGCAGCUCCAGUACGAACAGUAUUACCAGCAACAUUACCCUGGCUACAACCCCUACACUCAGCAGUAUCAACAGUAUGGCCAAUACCAGCAGUACACACAACCUCAAACGCAAGUGGCAAUGCAAAAUGUUGCUCAAGUUCCUGCACAACCUGCUCCAUACGCUCAGCCCCAAUUCUUGCAGCCCUCACAGCCCCAACACAUGGUGCCAAACCAGUCCCAGAAUCAGUCUCAUCAUCCUCAAGUCCAAGCACCAGUUGUUCAGCCGCAGCCUCAGCAGAAUCCACCAUUGAAUCCAGCACCUCAAAAUCCACAGAUGCACCCACAAGUUGAUGCACAGCCUAUAGCCCAUACUCAAGUUGGUACUCAACCAUUUGCAAUGCCUACAACUCAAGCAAUAGCUUCCCAGGUGCAGCCACAUGUACAACCUCAUCCUCCACAACAUCUGCAGGCUGUGACCCAGCAUCAACAUUCGCAAAUGCAGUUUCUACCUCAGCAGCAACAUCUUCAAUCUCAGAUACAGCACCAGCAUCCACAAGUACAGCAGCAAUCGUACCCACAACCUCAGGUAUAUCAUCAGCCUCAUCCAGUUGCACAACCUCAUCCAGUUGCACAACCUCAGAAUCCUCCAGUACAUGCGGCAGCGGGUCAUCAAUCAUAUUCACAGCCUCAGCCAACAAAUCAGAUGCCACAUGGUGCUCCACUUCAGCGCCCUGCACAUGCAUCUCACCAACAGUUAGUUGGUCCUCAGCAUGCUGCACUUGUACACCCUCCGCAGGGUCAAUUUCCGUUGCAGGGCCAACAGCCAGCUAUGCAGGCUCCUCAAGGUGCUCAGCAUGCAUCACAACAUCAGCAACAUGUUGGGUAUCAUGUUCAAAGGCCACCAAUGCAUCCAAGCAUUCCUUCCCAAGCACCGCCACAAGGGUUUCCUGCUAACACUUCCGUUCCUUCACAAACAGGUCACUUGUACCAACAAGGAAUGUACUCAUCUCAACAACAUAUGCAUUCACAAUCUUUCCAGCCCCAUGGUCCACCAUUUAUACAACAGCAGCAUGUUCCAACUUCGACUAGCAGGUCUAUGAGUAAUGCUGCAACUCCACACCAGUUCCAAGAAUCUGGGAAGUCAGAAAAUGCAAGUAAUGCUACUGGCAAUACUGAAGUAGGUGAUAGUACAAAUGGAGGUGGUGAAUUUUCUGGCAUAAAACCGGAAUCUCUAGGUGAUAAAAAUGUGAACGGAGAGCAGAAUGAUUUUGCUAGUACUAGAAAAAAUGUGGCACAAACUGGCAUUACAUUGGGCGGUGCAGAUGGUUCAGACAAAGGCAAAGGAAAGGAUGAAUUAGUUGGCCAGAAUAGUAAUUCACAGCCUGAAGCUUCACACGUAUCCAAUGACCUUGAGAAAGGAGGAUCACUGCAACAUGUAUCACACAAAGAUCUGGGAGCACUGGGGUCCUAUGUGCCUCCAGGCAUGGGUCGACAACGUCUGUCUGGACCUGAUGCCAGGCCUCCUCACCAUAUGCUCACACAAGGCCAGAUGAAUCAAAUGAGGCCACCUAGUCAUAGUUUUUCUGAAAAUAUCCGGCCUCCAAUGCAGCAACACCCGUUUGGUUUAUAUCAAUCUGAAAUGGCACCAAGGAUGCUUGCGCCAAACCUUCCGCUGCCAGCACCCAUCAGAUCUGAUGACGGCAUGAUUCGGCCACCCAUGGGUGGUGGACCCUUGCCUGGACAUCACGACACAACUAUGCCUCCUUUUGCUCCAGAAAAUGUUGGCCGGCCACAUCCUGCUGGAAUGACAAAGGGCAAUGGUGUUGGCGGCGGGUCACUUGGAAAUUCCAGGGCUUUCCACGAAGAAGGGUUCAAUUCUUCACGGGAACAUUUCAGGUCCUUGGCGCCAUCAUAUCCUGGCAGAUACAAUGUCGACCCUAAAGAUAUUGAAGAGAAUAUGAAGCAAUUUCCAGGGCCAACUCAUCUUGACGGCGAGGGUUUUCAGAGAGGGCCUAGACCAUUUGAUGGUUUCGAUUCAUUACCUGGAAGGCCUCCAUUCCCAAAUAAGCCAGGCCCAUAUCCUACAGGCUUCCCUGAAGAUUUGUCAAGGAAACCCCAUUCAGUUGUUGGUCAUCCUGACUUUGUGUCACCUGGUGCAGAAUACGGCCUUCACAGGAUUGAUGGAAUGCCUAGAAACCCAGGUCCAUUUCUUCAAGGGAUGCCAGCGGGUCCUGGAGGUCUUCGUAAAGACCAACUAGGCCCUGGCAACCUUCCAGGGAACAUACAUCAUGAUUUUGGCAAUCCAGGGUUCCCUCCUACACAUUUCCACCCUGGUGAUACUUUUCUUCCGAGAAAUCUACAUGGUGCUGAACCCCUUGGACAUGGUCAAUUGCAUGGAAUUGAACCUUCUGGCCACCGGUUCCAUGGUCACGUACAUCCAGAUGAUCCAAAUCUUGAUGACUAUCCUCGACAUGGUUUUCCACAAGAAUCUGUCCGUUUCAGCUCGGGUGGAUUCUUCAGUAAUGGAGAUGUUGGUUUGUGCCGGAUAUGCAUGUUUAACUGUGGAAGUGCAGAGGACCUGGGUCUACAUGUGCAUACAAGGGAGCAUCAGCAGCAUGCAAUGGACAUUGUUCUGAAAAUGAAGCAUGAUGUUGCAAAGAGGCAGAAGAUGAUUCCUGGAGGUCCCAAGUCGUUAAACAAAAAGGUAGCUGUGAAGGGCAACUUCCGUGGAAAUAGGCGCUAGAUCUCUUGUUAUCUAGUUCAGCACUCGAUGAGAUCUGAAGGUUGCUGCCAGUGCUGUUUGGACCUAUUUGAGAGUUUGAGACCACUGAAAAUCAAGACAUGUUCAUGCAUUUGGGUUAAGAAAUUGACAAGUUUAGGAAAUUCCAUGCGAGGGCUCCACGUUCAUACAAUCGAACUUGCAUGCUUUCCUGAAGGCGGUAAGGGUAGAUAAGCAUUCAACCUUUCUUACGAAGUGAUUUAAGUUUUCCACAAAUGUGACCCAAAUAGAUGAACUGAUUAUCUCUGUUUCUCAGUUUUUUUGGUAAAUGAUUAUGUCCCUAAAUACUUGCAUGAAAUUUGCAAUUUUGUGCAUUUGUAAAACUUGACUUUAACUAGUUGGUCGUACAGACACGGUUGCUAUUAGGAGUUUAAGAACCUGUUCACCCAUCUGUUUUACUGUUCUGUGUGAUCUAAUUGCCAAUAUUAUCCAACAUUUAGCAAGUUAACCUGACAAUACUGCGCUGGCGCCAAAAGUGUGACAAGUCAUACUUUUUUGGUAUGCUUUGGCUAGAAAAUUAUUUUGUGAUACUUAAGUUGGGCCCUAAGGAAGUGCAACAAGCCACUGUUGUGGUUGUGCACUAUAUAUGACUAUCCUCAAAGGUCAAACUUACUUAACUGAGCAUGACAAUUUGGUAACAAUUCUAAAACCCCAACUUCAAACCAAGUUUCUCGAGGUUGAACCUAUGUAGAAAACCUGAACUUGAUUUGCAUAUGCAUCUGUUUGUUGCCGUUCUUUGUUUCUACUGUUUAGUAUUAUCACGUAAAAUCAUGGCGACCAAGAAGCAGCACCCAUACCCUUAUAGUUUGGGAAUCAUCCAACAUUCGUGAAUGACUAAACUUAGUCUAGAAACUAUGUUCGAAUAUAUGACUUUCUUGCUACGUACAGAAUUGGGAAAGACAAACAACAAUUAAAUGUAGUAAUCUGUCUUAGACAAAACUAUCAUAAUGUUAUAGUACCACUUAAAUACUUGGAACAUGUCCAGAAACAGCUGAAUAUAAUGUUUUGUUAUAGAUAUGCAAAAUGUAUUUAUUGACUAAUUGGAAAAAAACUGAAAAUGGUUAGCCCGUGUGGACUAAUCUUAAUGACCAUCGGAGAUUCACAUUGUAAAAUUGGCUAGUUGCCAUGUCUUUUGAAUUUGAGAAAAUCGUGAACACUUUAUUCUUCUAGUGGAUCUAUCUUGUUUUUGUUCUGUUCUAAAAAGUCUUGUAGCACCCUAUUGGGAGUUCCUGGUGAAUGUGAUGGAGCCUUGAGAAAACAGUUGUGACUGGUGUUGGCUAACAAUGACGCUACACCUGUCUUGUGUUGCUGAGCUGAUCAUCAAUAAUGUAUUUAUGAGAGUGUAUGUAUUGCACUGGCGUGACCACUUUGUUUCUUUCCCUUUUGUAUUUCCCUUUUUUAGUAUUUUUGUUGUAUUGCUCAA